GGAGAGGUGGCUGAGUCUGGCUGAAGGCGCUCGCCUGGAAAGCGGGUAGGCGGCUAAAACCGUCUCGGGGGUUCAAAUCCCCCUCUCUCCG
RNAcentral lists this transfer RNA (91 nucleotides) under Caldisalinibacter kiritimatiensis. It matches the Rfam family "tRNA". Rfam says of the family: Transfer RNA (tRNA) molecules are approximately 80 nucleotides in length. Their secondary structure includes four short double-helical elements and three loops (D, anti-codon, and T loops). Further hydrogen bonds mediate the characteristic L-shaped molecular structure. tRNAs have two regions of fundamental functional importance: the anti-codon, which is responsible for specific mRNA codon recognition, and the 3' end, to which the tRNAs corresponding amino acid is attached (by aminoacyl-tRNA synthetases). tRNAs cope with the degeneracy of the genetic code in two manners: having more than one tRNA (with a specific anti-codon) for a particular amino acid; and 'wobble' base-pairing, i.e. permitting non-standard base-pairing at the 3rd anti-codon position. The record is from Rfam by way of RNAcentral. Lineage: Bacteria; Bacillati; Bacillota; Tissierellia; Tissierellales; Thermohalobacteraceae.